RNAcentral lists this ribosomal RNA (404 nucleotides) under uncultured bacterium. RNAcentral describes it as "bacterial SSU rRNA". It matches the Rfam family "Bacterial small subunit ribosomal RNA", at positions 29 to 477 of the family's 1533-position model. The record is from RNAcentral.
AACGAACGCUGGCGGCAUGCCUAACACAUGCAAGUCGAACGCCCUGCAAGGGGAGUGGCGAACGGGUGAGUAACGCGUGGGAACCUACCUAGCGAUGGGGGAUAACCGAGGGGAAACUUCGGCUAAUACCGCAUACGCCCCUACGGGGGGAAAGAUUUAUCGUCGUUGGAGGGGCCCGCGUCCGAUUAGCUAGUUGGUGAGGUAAUGGCUCACCAAGGCAUCGAUCGGUAGCUGGUCUGAGAGGAUGAUCAGCCACACUGGGACUGCGACACGGCCCAGACUCCUACGGGAGGCAGCAGUGGGGAAUAUUGGACAAUGGGGGCAACCCUGAUCCAGCAAUGCCGCGUGAGUGAUGAAGGCCUUAGGGUUGUAAAGCUCUUUUACCAGGGACGAUGAUGACGGUA